Molecule: long non-coding RNA, 1683 nt
Filed under: Sorghum bicolor (sorghum)
Lineage: Eukaryota; Viridiplantae; Streptophyta; Magnoliopsida; Poales; Poaceae
Description: long non-coding RNA (SBIC_LNC008727)
Source: RNAcentral
GACCUCCACCACAAUUUGAUGCAGGACGAUACUCCGACGCCUCCUACGCUUUCACGAAUGACUACUAUCAAGAGGCCGGUGCUUUCUUCACUCGUACCGACAACACCCUCCUCGACAUCUAGAACACGCAAGCAGAACAUGGAAGACUCCUGGAAGAGCAACAGAAAUGGAACCAGGACCAUGCCGCUGCAGUACAAGAGCUAAGACAAGAUACAACAACAAUGAACGACAACAUCACAACCAUGAUGCAGUUCUGGAACAUCGGGUAAGACCGACGUCAACAUCCAGCUUGGGGGAGUUCCUCCCUAAAUUUAUCAAGUAAGUUUCUAUUUGCUCUUCUUAUUUAUUUUAUUCUGUCUUAGAAUUUAACUUAUCUUAAAAGGAAAACUUAGAAAACCAAAUAAAUAUUUUCUUGCUUUAAUUUACUGCAUUUUAAACAUGAAAACAAAAUAAAAAGAGUGUGUAGAUAAGUGUGCUUUAUUUUUCUGCUAAAUUUAAUCUCUAGAAAAAAAAGACCAAAAAUAUGCAUGAUGGAAAUGAUGAACAGUUGCUCUGUUUGCUUACUUACAAGUACCUAGCUUUUAUAUUAGAAUUCUUCCAGGAAUUACUAAAACUAAAAUUAAUAUCUUUGGAAGCAUAAAACUAAAGUCUAGGUAAGGAAAGGCAUGAUAUAAAGAUGAGCUACUGUUUAUCUUGUUCCUACUACACUAAGUUCUGGAGAUUUAUUUUUGAAAACUUACAAAUCACAUGAUGAGUUCCUAGCAUAACAAACUACCUACCACAGCCAUACUUGCUAUAACAUCUUUUACUAUAUUUACAUUGAGUUUGAUCGAGCUGUGUAGACCCUUAGGAGCUUUUCAUGUGGUUAAAUUAAGAUAUUCACUUGCACACAUCUACCACAGCAUUCAUCACCAAUCAUUAAAAUUGCUAAAAAUGUUAUCACUCACUGUCCUGAAUAUUGUUAUUCUCUCUCUCUAAAAAGAUUCAAUGCAGAAGAGGCAUGGGUUAUGCAAAAAUAUACGAGGAAAUAAAAAGGGGCAAGUGCCCGGAACCUCGGAAAGAGAAAGAAAAAGAGUGAGACGAGAGGUAAAAAUGGACAAGUGUCCAAAGUAGAAUUAGGGGUACAAAAAUGCCCACUUGAGCGGAAAAAAUGGACAAGUGUCCGACAGUAGAAUUAGGGGUAUCUACUACCCACCUGAAAAAAAAAGAAAGAGAGAAAAAGAUAGCCCAUGUUCUCCCAAAGCAAAGAUCAAAAAGAAGAGGAGAGAUAGCAAUAUGAGGAGCAGUGAGAACUAAGAUUUAUUAACACUAUUGCAUUUUCACCAUCACUAUCAUUUACUCCACCACACAUGCACAUCUUGAUUUAAUUAUAUGCUGAGUUCCUUUGGAUCCAUGGCUCGAUUAGAUAAUAUAUGUAUGAGCUGUUUUCCACUCCUAUGAGCUCCACUUAAAUAUUCCAUUAGCUAUAGGUAAGUGAUAUCAUGGUAAGGAUCCACAAAUACUACAUAUAGAGAGACUUGAGAGAAUCAUUGCUGGGAACUCUGAGUUUUAUUUUGAAAACUUAUGAAAAACUCUAGAACAAAGGUGAAGUAUAGACAGAAGGGAUAGUGCUUGACUUAACUAUUUUGUCUUUCGAUUACUUAAGACUUAAGUGCAGGUACUAAACUUCAUAACACUUCACUC